AGGAAGUGGCAUUAAAUGAGCUCUCAGAGGCCUCCCAGCAGUGACCCAGAAUGAGGAAGGAGCUGGGGCCAUACCAGAGUCAGAGCUGGACCGGGAGCACGGCAGGGCCCAGCCAUCCACAGCCUCCAAUUUCAGUACUCUCUAACAACCUGAGAGCCUGAGCCUUCGGAUCUUCUUGAUUCCUACUUUGAUAAAGAGAGGGAUGGGGUUGGAAGGACCUGGCAUAGAGAUUGGACCAGUCCGGCAUUGACAGAGCCAGGACCUGGGGUCCGGAACUGAGCUCAGCUCCAGGCUCAUCUGAAGUCACCCUGACAGCCUGAGGAUGGAGACCUUAUUUCCAUUAACAGGCAUGGCGGUUGGCAGGGACUGGCCCCAGCUGAGCACGGUUUUCCAAGUACACAGCUGGGAAUUAAGUCUUCUCUGCCGCCCUCCCCUGUAGUCUUGCCUGGAUCCCCCCAGUCAUCUACUCCCAGUACCAAAAACUCCUGUAUUCUUGAAAAUCCGUAGUACUGAGAGGUGACAGCUUGCUGGCAGUCCUCAACAGCCCUCGCUCGCUCUCGGCGCCUCCUCUGCCUGGGCUCCCACUUUGGCGGCACUUGAGGAGCCCUUCAGCCCACCGCUGCACUGUGGGAGCCCUUUUCUGGGCUGGCCAAGGCUGGAGCCCGCUCCCUCAGCUUGCACGGAGGUGUGGAGGGAGAGGCGCGAGCGGGAACCGGGGCUGCGCGCGCGGCACUUGCGGGCCAGCUGGAGUUCCGGGUGGGCGUGGGCUCGGCGGGCCCUGCACUCGGAGCAGCCGGCCGGCCCUGCCGGCCCCGGGCAAUGAGGGGUUUAGCACCCGGGCCAGCGGCUGCGGAGGGUGUACUGGGUCCCCCAGCAGUGCCGGCCCACUGGCGCUGCGCUUGAUUUCUCGCCGGGCCUUAGCUGCCUUCCCGACGGGCAGGGCUCGGGACCGCCAUGCCUGAGCCUCUCACCCCCUCCGUGGGCUCCUGUGCAGCCGGAGCCUCCCCGACGAGCACCUCCCCCUGCUCCAGGGCGCCCAGUCCCAUCGACCACCCAAGGGCUGAGGAGUGCGGGCGCACGGCGCGGGAGCACGGCGCGGGACUGGCAGGCAGCUCCACCUGCAACCCCGGUGCGGGAUCCACUGGGUGACGACACCUGGGCUCCUGAGUCUGGUGGGGACGUGGAGAACCUUUAUGUUUAGCUAAGGGAUUGUAAAUACACCAAUUGGCACUGUGUAUCUAGCUCAAGUUUUGUAAACACACCAAUCAGCACCGUGUGUCUAGCUCAGGGUUUGUGAAUGCACCAAUUGACACUCUGUAUCUAGCUAGUCUGGUGGGGCCUUGGAGAACCUUUGUGUCCACACUCUGUAUCUAGCUAAUCUGGUGGGGAAGUGGAGAACAUUUGUGUCUAGCUCAGGGAUUGUAAACCACCAAUCAGCGCCCUGUCAAAACAGACCACUCCGCUCUACCAAUCAGCAGGGUGUGGGUGGGGCCAGAUAAGA
RNAcentral lists this long non-coding RNA (1501 nucleotides) under Homo sapiens (human). RNAcentral's name for it is "PREDICTED lncRNA (TCONS_00254246)". Lineage: Eukaryota; Metazoa; Chordata; Mammalia; Primates; Hominidae. The record is from RNAcentral.